UUUCAGAUGAAAGCAGAAUCAAUUUUGCACCUGAACCUGAAAAAAGAGAUCCCAUAUUAAUGAGCGAUAAUGAAGAAGAAGACGCAGAAAUUUACUCUAACCGUGAUGAGGUCAUCAUUGAAGAUUCGUCAAGUGGAGAUGAGUUUUUGCCUCCUCCCAAUCGUAGUUUAAACAAUUCCUCAUUCAAGACUCAAUCUUCUGGGAAAACCAAUUCAACUAGGUUGGCACCAACCACUUCCUAUACCACCCUGUCCUCUGGCUUUCCUGAGACCUCUUUGG
Long non-coding RNA from Macrosteles quadrilineatus (aster leafhopper), 279 nucleotides. RefSeq lists it as uncharacterized. NCBI's taxonomy places the organism in Eukaryota, Metazoa, Arthropoda, Insecta, Hemiptera, Cicadellidae. The record is from RefSeq and is a predicted model, not a curated record. The transcript has 4 exons.